CACCGGCAGACCAAGUGGUACCCACGAAUAUUGGGCCUAAAGCGCCCGUAGCCGGUCUGUUAAGUCCACUGUGAAAUCCUCAGGCUCAACUUUGAGGGCGUGCAGCGGAUACUGGCAGACUUGGGAACGGGAGACGUGUGGAGUACUUCCGGGGGAGAGGUAAAAUUCUGUAAUCCUGGAAGGACUAACGGUGGCGAAGGCGCCACACGAGAACGUGUCCGACGGUGAGGGGCGAAGGCUGGGGG
Molecule: ribosomal RNA, 245 nt
Filed under: uncultured archaeon
Lineage: Archaea
Description: partial 16S ribosomal RNA
Rfam family: Archaeal small subunit ribosomal RNA
Source: RNAcentral